Long non-coding RNA from Eriocheir sinensis (Chinese mitten crab), 3942 nucleotides. RefSeq lists it as uncharacterized. The transcript is spliced from 6 exons. The record is from RefSeq and is a predicted model, not a curated record. Lineage: Eukaryota; Metazoa; Arthropoda; Malacostraca; Decapoda; Varunidae.
GAACAAUGGGAGGAUCACAGGCUACGCGAUAUUCCUCACCACGGACCAAACUGUCGGUGACUGGGUGAUGGGGGAAGUGACGGGGGACUGGCUCACCCUCACCGUCCAUGGACUGACGGCUUCAAGGAAGUAUUUGCACAAGAUGCACUCUCACAAUGUUAAAGGUUUUGGUCCAUUCUCCUCUGUGGAAAGCUUCACGACUCUUCCAGGUAAGGAAGUGUUAGUCUUAGGGAGCCGUCAUUGCUGUGGUGCAUCAGUCACUGUUCUCCCAGUUAUGCACAUGUUGUGUCCCACCAUACUGUCCCUCAUCAUGGAGCACUCCCUCCCUGAGGCUGACCUGAGGCCCAUUACCUGCAUGCUGUGUGUUGUGGUGCAUCAGUCACUGUUCUCCCAGUUAUGCACAUGUUGUGUCCCACCAUACUGUCCCUCAUCAUGGAGCACUCCCUCCCUGAGGCUGACUUGAGGCCCAUUACCUGCAUGCUGUGUGUUGUGGUGCAUCAGUCACUGUUCUCCCAGUUAUGCACAUGUUGUGUCCCACCAUACUGUCCCUCAUCAUGGAGCACUCCCUCCCUGAGGCUGACUUGAGGCCCAUUACCUGCAUGCUCUGUGAAUGCCACCUCUGGCUCUGUGGGCAUGUGGGUAAACCCUGCUUGCCAGGUUGUUUAUGUAAGACACAAUCCUUAGUAAAGAGUGUGCCCAGAAAGUUGGGUUAGAGCAGGUUGAUGGAUCCUGCUGGGAGGUACAUGGUAUGGGGAAGGUGCCUGCAUGGGGACCUGCACAGAGGAACCCCCAAGAAUGGUGUCAUAGUUUGGGUGAGGCAGGCUGGCAGAGGCCCCCAUUGAUUGACUGAUUGAUUAAGCCAAUGUUAAAAAUAUUAUACAUCUGCUCCUGUGUUCCAGCUGUUGACAAGAGCAUCGGUGAGCCCCCUGGCUGGUGUGUGGAGCGAGAGGCCUGAUUGUGCUGGUGAUCGCUGGCGUGGCAGGAGCCAUGACCAGCUGGGGGCCUUCUUGGCCACCACACUGUACUGCCAUGGUCAAGGCGGAGCCCAGGCCAAGCAUUGUUCUUGGCGGCAGCUGCAGUGAGAGCAACAAGCCUGGCGUCCAGCCUCCAGACCUGUGGAUCCAUCACGGCCACUUGGAGCUGAAGAACUUUGACAAGGGUGAGCGCAGCAACUCCCCCAACCACACCUCCAUCAUCCAGCACACAGCUGAAGAUCAACAACAAGGAGAUGACGGCGCUAGACCAGAUGCUUGGGGCACUCCUGGAGGCUCUGCAGGACAAGGCCAAGGAAACAAAGAGUGGCCAGGCUCUGGGACCGAGGCACAGAGAGCCAAGACGGCCGAGGGUUUAUCAAGACUGACAACAACGUGACGGUCAAAGUGUUAGAGGACUGCCAGAACCAUAACGGUACUGCCGGGAGUGUCAUCGGGAAGGCGUGUUCACCUGCCCCACCCCAAGUGUGGCGACAUGAAGGAGGAGCCGGAGGAGGAGGGGAGUGCCACGCCGUCAUGCAGGCAGAGAACACGGAGAACAGCUCUGAAAAAUGAAGAAAGGAAGGAAGGAAGGAAGAUAAUCUCAGAAGACUCAUACAGUCCAUUACACGUCCUUCAUGUUAUGUUAUUACAUUCCUGUACUCCCAACGCCCGGCCCGGGGGUCCAGCCGCAAUACUCACAAGGUCCAGAUGCAGACUGCGGCCACCACUUGAGCAGCCUGGCUGCUCUACACCAAUCCUUAUUUAGUUGUGUUCUUGUAGAGUUAAAUCCAGACAUCUCAUAUCCUUAGGCCAGGUCAAAAGUAAAGUUUGGUGUGCAUGGCCUCAGUGUUCAUCUCUGUUACACUGCCCCUGGAGGCCGUGGAGGCAGGAGCCCAGCACCCUGGGACACACUCAGACUACCACAGGUGCCUCCCCAGGGGUCUCCAGGUACACAUGAUCACCCAGACACAAAGAAUGACCUGCAUACGUCUAGGGAUUCAAACCCUGGCCAGCGGAUUGGUAGGUAGGCAUGCCAGCCACAGCACCAUGGAGCCAUGUAUUAUACUAGUACUUGGCACUGGUAUCCUAUGCUAUUUCUUCCUGGCUAGUUGGACACCAGAGAUUUCCUGUAUUAAUUUCUUGGGUUUUCUGUUAUAUAUUUGUUUAUUAGGUGUAUCUUUUGAUUUAGUUUCAUCAUGAUUUUUAUUGUUAUUUAGUGAAGCAGCUCAAGGGUGAAUGUAAUACAAAACACAAUUUGCAAAUUGAUAUUUUUAUUGCUAGAACACAAACACACACAUACACAUAGUGACAUAAGGAAGGUCAUGUGGCUAUGUAGGGGGGCGGGUCAGGAUAGGGUCCAUUAUGUGUCUGGGGGAGGGCAUGUGUCUCUUAGGGGACUUAACUGCUAAGACUGGACUCUGGGGCCAUCCCUAAGAGCUGAAGGACUGGGUGUAAUGAAAGACUAUGUUCCCUAUUGUACACCUUGCAGAGUAGAGUGGGAUAGAUAGAUUAAGCUAUUUUUAUCCUCUCCUGUCUCUCUCUCUCUUCAUUCCUUUCCAUUACCUUGAGCAUUCUAAUUUACUGUUGAAGUAAUAAAAAUAAAAAUGAACUGCAAUAGAUAGACAUGAAAUUUUGGAAUGGACAAAAAUGGUGUUGAUGCAUGUUUCACCACCACACAACACCACUAGACACCAAUUUUUCAUCACCACUGCCUUCAACACUGCCACACCACUAAAGAUGCAUAUUUACAACACCAUUAGGUAUAGAGAUCACCACCACCAGGGCUAUAACACCAAUUUUCAUCACCACCAACACAAGUACCUCCACCAUCAACACCAGAACCUCUAAAAAUGCCUAUAUUUCAUCACCACUGCCAUCAACACCUCCACAAAGGCUAUCAACACCAAUUUUCAUCACCACCAGUACAGUAAACACCGUUCACCACCACUCAUCACCGUUUAAAAGAGGCUAGUUUUCAACACCACCACAGACUGACAUCACCACCACUUCAUCACUACACACCAGCUUCUCAUCACUGUCAUUAACACUUUCAACACCACCACCACUCUUCGGGGCAUUUUGAGGCCGAUGCAGAAGAUAUUUGGGAAUCUCUAUCCAGCCCCAGGAAUUACAACCCUGCCACUGAAAACACCGCGGGCCCACCACCAGGCCACUGACCAAAGCCUGCCGCUGCUAUAGGCUAGGACAUAAAAAAGAUGAUGAUAAUAAUGAUAAUAAUAAUAAUAAUAAUAAUAAUAAUAAUAAUAAUAAUAAUAAUAAAUAAUUGACACAAAAAGUGACUACCAGUGCAGGAUGGGGGUUUGGGUCCCGCCCGCCACCACAGACAGUAUUUUUCAGUCACCGCCGAGUGGCCCAACACUACCCACAUGCUGUCCUGGUGGACGCCUGUCAACCCAGACUCUAGAUUCUCUCUCUAAAAGAGGAUCAAAGGUGAGCCAGGCAAGGUGGCACCAAUAUAAACACUUCCCUGCACUAUAGAGGGCUGGAGCUACCACACCUAGAGGCAGAAAAAAAAUACUGCUGACACAUUACUAUAGCCGCCACCGCCACUGCAGCCCUCCGCCCUCCAUUCCCUAAGGCUGGAGACGGGUCUGAAGAUCCCCGGCACUGGCAGUGGUCUGGGCAGCCUGGGGUCCUGUGGCCUGGUGUUGGCACUGGGCUGCUGCUCCCAAGGUCUGGUGAUGCUGAGGCCUGGAGAGCGAGGAAGGACUUGGUAAGUUAUGAAAGGAACAAGAUGGAUGGCUGAAUAUAAGCAAAGUGAUGAUACGCAUUUCUAAAAGCCAAAAAAUGCAAGUAAAUAAUUACUAAAUGAUGGAAUUUGUAAACACAUAAAAAGACAGACAUAUAUCAGAGUUGCUUUGAUUUAAAUUAUGUGAUUUAAUCUAUUACAGGACAAAUAUUAAAAAGCAUAAAAAAGAUUAUCAUUAUAAGGGAAAUUGUGAUCUUU